GGCAUAGGCAACUUGAAAAGUCCAGCACAUCAUUAACCUUGGGCAGAGGACAUCCAGAAGAGAAGGGUCCUACCCUGCUCCCAUGAUGCCACCUGGCACUGUGAAGGUCACGGCAUCUCCUGAGAACACAAGAGUCAUACAGCCCUGGCUUUACUUGGCUACCAAGCCAGAGACUGUGGCUGCUGUGGUUUAGAAGAGGCCGAAAGUGUUUGAAAUCUCUGUUGACCUUUGCCCAUGAUGCAUGCUGUCCUAUUCACGGGAUGUGGCUGCAGGAGUGUGCGGCUGAGCACCUGGGGGUCCAUUCAGGAAGGGCCAGAAAGGGCAGAUCCUGUGGUCCCGGAAACAAAGGAGAGAGCGGUUGGUGUCCUGUCUAGGGGAAGGACUUUGGUGCCCUCUCCUAGGAGCCUGUGCUCCAUCCAGGUGUCGUUCCAGUUUCUUCAGCCUGGGUGUCACAUUUUCCACAAUCCCUGUCAUGACGGGCAGAG
Hyaena hyaena (striped hyena) is the source of this 485-nucleotide long non-coding RNA. RefSeq lists it as uncharacterized. Lineage: Eukaryota; Metazoa; Chordata; Mammalia; Carnivora; Hyaenidae. The record is from RefSeq and is a predicted model, not a curated record. The transcript is spliced from 3 exons.